AGCGAACGCUGGCGGCAGGCCUAACACAUGCAAGUCGAACGAACUCUUCGGAGUUAGUGGCGGACGGGUGAGUAACACGUGGGAACGUGCCUUUUGGUUCGGAAUACUCAGGGAAACUUGUGCUAAUACCGAAUGUGCCCUUCGGGGGAAAGAUUUAUCGCCAUUAGAGCGGCCCGCGUCUGAUUAGCUAGUUGGUGAGGUAACGGCUCACCAAGGCGACGAUCAGUAGCUGGUCUGAGAGGAUGACCAGCCACACUGGGACUGAGACACGGCCCAGACUCCUACGGGAGGCAGCAGUGGGGAAUCUUGCGCAAUGGGCGAAAGCCUGACGCAGCCAUGCCGCGUGAAUGAUGAAGGUCUUAGGAUUGUAAAAUUCUUUCACCGGGGACGAUAAUGACGGUACCCGGAGAAGAAGCCCCGGCUAACUUCGUG
This 432-nucleotide ribosomal RNA is filed under the name uncultured bacterium. RNAcentral describes it as "partial 16S ribosomal RNA". It matches the Rfam family "Bacterial small subunit ribosomal RNA", at positions 29 to 507 of the family's 1533-position model. The record is from RNAcentral.